This 390-nucleotide ribosomal RNA is filed under the name Chytridiomycetes sp. RNAcentral describes it as "partial small subunit ribosomal RNA". It matches the Rfam family "Eukaryotic small subunit ribosomal RNA", at positions 582 to 975 of the family's 1831-position model. The record is from RNAcentral. Lineage: Eukaryota; Fungi; Chytridiomycota; Chytridiomycetes.
AUUCCAGCUCCAAUAGCGUAUAUUAAAGUUGUUGCAGUUAAAAAGCCCGUAGUUGAAUUUUGGGUUUGACUGGGUGGUCUGGCCGAAAGGUCAGUACUGCUCUGGUUGAAUUCUGACUUUCUGGGGAAUCAGUGUGCUACUUAUUUAGUGCAUUGGGGAUCCAGGACUUUUACUUUGAAAAAAUUAGAGUGUUUAAAGCAGGCAUACGCUUGAAUACAUUAGCAUGGAAUAAUAGAAUAGGACUUUGGUUCUAUUUUGUUGGUUUCUAGGACCAAAGUAAUGAUUAAUAGGGACAGUUGGGGGCAUUAGUAUUUAAUUGUCAGAGGUGAAAUUCUUGGAUUUAUUAAAGACUAACUUCUGCGAAAGCAUUUGCCAAGGAUGUUUUCAUUA